UGAGAACUACUCAGUCGAUCGAUAUGGGGUGGCCUACGUGUUGUUUGUAGUGGGCUACUGGGCUGCUUAGUUAUGAUUAGCGGGCCUAUUUAGCAUUAUCUUUGUCUAGCUUUUAUUUGUUCUCCCGUUGUAUUUUCUUGAACCUUUGUUUUCUUUUUCUUUCACGUGGAUUUGCUAUUGUUUUCUUUUGUUCUUGGAUAUGUGACAUGUGUGUGCAUUUAUUCUUCUUCUCAUUUAAAAAUUUCUAGGCUAUUUAUCUGCACUGAGAAAUUUUUAUUUCUCAAUUGGUCGAUUAGCACGCGGAUUAACUUGUGCGCGAUUUGGGGUCUAGAAAUGUCCAAUUAGGUUAUUGCACGUCC
RNAcentral lists this long non-coding RNA (359 nucleotides) under Brachypodium distachyon (stiff brome). RNAcentral's name for it is "long non-coding RNA (BDIS_LNC001847)". The record is from RNAcentral. Lineage: Eukaryota; Viridiplantae; Streptophyta; Magnoliopsida; Poales; Poaceae.